Long non-coding RNA from Erigeron canadensis, 101 nucleotides. RefSeq lists it as uncharacterized. Lineage: Eukaryota; Viridiplantae; Streptophyta; Magnoliopsida; Asterales; Asteraceae. The record is from RefSeq and is a predicted model, not a curated record. The transcript has 3 exons.
GUUAGUGUGGGAUUUCAUUUCAUCUUGAAGGUGAAAAGCAAUACGAUUGUUAGAUGAUCAUCAUGGAUUUGGUUGUCGCGAAGGAGGUUGUCCUGGAAGUG